Ictalurus punctatus (channel catfish) is the source of this 1215-nucleotide RNA transcript. It is a transcript of the gene named transcriptional protein SWT1, with no coding region annotated. The transcript has 4 exons. NCBI's taxonomy places the organism in Eukaryota, Metazoa, Chordata, Actinopteri, Siluriformes, Ictaluridae. The record is from RefSeq and is a predicted model, not a curated record.
CACUUUAUUAUUUAUGAUACCUACCUUGUUUGUUCACCUGCGUGUACAGUUAGAGAGGGUAGUUUGUGUUGCUGUGGGGUAUGUAUGGUGUGUAAUAGCAAUGCCUCCAGGGUCACUGGUUUGAUUCUGAGCUCAGGUUACUGUCUGUGUGGAGUGACGCAGGUUCUUUCCAUGUCUGCAGGUUCUCCGGUUUUCCUUCCACCUACUAAUAACCUGCAGGAUAAUAUGUAAUAAUAAUAAUAAUUUACACAGAUCAUCCUGUUCAAAAGUUUACACCCCCCUGGCUCUUAAUGUAUUGUGUUGCCUUCUUGAGAAUCAGUGAAUGCUUGCACCUGAUAUAAUAAGGAAAAUAUGAGUAAAAAUGUGUGUGUAUGACUAUGUUUGAGCAUACCAAACUCUACUGGACUCUAUUGUACUUGCAUGCACAAACUAUUAGAUCAAAUCAAGAUGUGUCCAUGUAGGCUAGUGCUUUGCUGUUUUGUGUAUGUUUUUGUGUGUGACAUCUCAAGGUCAGAAGCAGCAGCAGGACCUCCUCAUUGUGCUCGACACCAAUGUUCCCCUCAGCCACCUGGACUUUGUGAAGAGGAUUAGAUCCCAUGGACUUGGAGCUUCGAUGAGAUGAACAGAUUACAUGAUUCUCUCUGGGGUUCCCGACGCUGCUGGUUCCCUGGGUGGUUCUACAGGAGCUGGACUCGUUAAAAAGCCGGAAACUGUCAAAGGCCAGCUGUGGACUACAUCUACACCUCCCUGAGGAACCAGGAGCUGCGUCUCUGGAGCCAGUCCAUGCAGCAAGUGUCUCACGCAGCCUGCAGGCUGAACACGGAGGAUAAUGACGAUCUGGUGCUGCAGUGCUGUCUCCAGUACAAGACGUUGUAUCCAGAGGACACUAUCAUGCUGUGCAUGUAAGCCGUAUAUUCAAGACUCAGAAUUGUUCAGGCAUCUUUAGGAGGACAUCUUUGGGGGUCACAUCUGGAAUUGUUUUUAAUUUUAAUUGAACUAAAGACCUUGUUUUCAUCUUCUGGUUUGCUGAUUUGCUCACAGUGGCCUGCUGGACACCUUUGGAUAUUUGAAUAGUGCUUUUAACAAUAAACAAUGUCACAAUACACAAUAAUCUGUUACGAGCAUUUACAUUUUUAAUGAGUGAGAGAGAGGGAGAGUUAUUACAGCGAGGGAAAAAAGUAUUUGAUCCCCUGCUGAUUUUGUACGUUUGCCCAC